Molecule: long non-coding RNA, 3135 nt
Organism: Pseudopipra pipra
Lineage: Eukaryota; Metazoa; Chordata; Aves; Passeriformes; Pipridae
Exons: 3
Source: RefSeq, a predicted model, not a curated record
UUUAAAAGCUCCCACCAUCCCUUCACAAGCAAUUUUACUGCUUUGGCAGCUGGGCUUGGAGGCUCUGGGGUGAAAACCUCUCUUCCACAGUGAUGAAGGUGGCAACCUCCUAAUCCUAGAGAGCAAAUGUCGGGAAAGGGAGGGGAAAAAUCCCAAAGGGCACACAGAUGGUCAAAAACUGAUGGAGAGCACAACUGCCUGGCAGUGAGCCUGUGUGUGUUAAUCUGAAAACAAUUGUCCUACAGAUGCACAGUUCUUCUGAUAAACCAAGUUCCAGCAGCUAAUGACAAGCUGGGAGCUGUUUAACCACAGAGCAGACAAAACAGAUUUUUCCACUACGGCUUCUGAUGGAAUUUUUUAAAAAUAAUGAGUUGAGGUCUGUGUUUGUUUGGUUCGGUUUGGGGUGGGUUUUUUUGUCUUUUUUAAAAAAAGCCUCCUUUCAUUUGCAUUUAAAAACUGGUUUUGUGUGUCCUACCCCUUCCAUCUCCGACCUUCCUGUGCAGCAGCUGCCGAGAAGUCCAGCUCCGUGUCCGGAUGCUGUUCAAGUUUGCUGUGCCAGCAGUGAGCAGUUUUUAACAGCCUGGGUAGUCAAUGCUUUUUCUGUCUGGUCCUCUGUUGCUGGCAGUGCCCGUGGUGCUGUAAUCAAGCCUGUUCACAGAGCCAGGCUGGGCUGGGUGCAGGGAUGGAUGAUCCACAUGGGAAGCAGCUCCAGCCCUGAGCUGCCGACUGACCCAGCCCUCCAAAGUGCUGUGGCCUGAGAGAAAAUGUCAUGGGAGUCUGUACCUUGAACUCUUGCCACCCUUAAUUAACCACAUAAGGUCUCUCUUACACAGUGCUCUUCAUCAGCUCAUUUGUCUUGUUCUCUUCGUUUGGCAGAUGGAGAAGGUAAAACUCAGAGGACCAUCAUUUCUCAUCCCUGGAGCCCAUCUGCACAAGCCAAAAUAAACCAAAUUUCCCCCAAAUGCCAGGCCAGCGCACUAACCACAAGCUUGCUGGCAUCCUUCACUUGCCACAGCCCUGCCUGCCUCUUCUUCGUGGGAAGGAUGCUGUGUUGGGAAAGAAAUCCCCAAGGAAGUUCUUUGCCUGGAUGGUUGGUUGAACCUCCCCAGCGUGGCAGAGACGCCCCAGCUACAAGGAACCACCUCAGCACACAAAGGAAACAACAAUCUGGGCUGGAGGAAGUCACUGAAAACCUGAGUGAACCUCGAGUGCAUCGGGAAAUGGGUCUGAUGCUUUGGCUCAGUCUGACCUGGAAACCUGCUCCUGGUGUGUCAUAACCACAGGCUUGACAAGUGGAAGCAAAAUGAGCAGUUCAAGUGACAAGAGCAAGAUCACCUUGCAGGUGAGGGGCAGAGAUGGAAAUAUAUCCCUGUCUUCUGUCCUGCCUCUCUGCUGAGCCCUUUCUCUCUUUAAUCACAUCAUCACAAAGGUUGUCUCCGUGGCAAGGCCAGAAUCAGCCUCGCUGCUGAUUGCAGGGAGAUGUCACCAGCUCCCAGGACCAGGAGACGCUUUCAGCAGCUGUAAAUCAGCACAACAACACUUUCCCUUCCCCAGAACUCUGCUGAUUUAUGUUGGCCUCGCAGAGGUCCCUGGUAGACAUGUGCUGGUGGAUUAAAAUCAGCCUGUCGGGUGUCCCUGUCCUGCUGAUGGAUGUGACACCCCGAGGCAGGGACGUGUCAUCUGCAGCAGCUCAGGAGCUGCAGCACGAGGGGCUGGGGUGGGUUUGGUGAGUGGCAGUGCUGGCACAGGGACACGUUUGGGUCCCCUGGCAGCUCCAGGUGCCCAAUUUUAACCUGUCACCACGUGCUGGUGAGAACCCAAGUCAUGCUGGGCAGCCUUUAACCUCUCAAAACUCUGGUGGGCUGAAGAAACUGGUGCUGGGAGACCACCCUGGGAUGCUCUUCCCAGUGCAGGCAGGAGCACUGGGAGUGCUGGGCUUUUCCUCUGGCAGAGGAAUACAUGGAGUUGAACUGGAAUCCCAGCACACAGAAGCCAUGGGUCCAUCAGGGAAUGAGAAGGAAAUGCCCUCUCAGGGGGAGAAGGCAGCGUGGUUUGGAUUUGAUCGUGGGCACAAACUGAGGGAUCUGUUCUCCAGGAAUGUGUCUCAUGCACUGCCCCUUCUUCCCUCUUCCUCUGCAGACCCUGACCCACUCGUCUGUGAAGAGGUUGAGGUGUUGGAUCAGGGCCUUGAGAACAGCAGUCUUAGGGAUCAGGUUGUCAGCACAUGGAUGGAAGAUCCUGGGAACAGGAUGUCAGAUUUAAAUGAAUUGAAUUCCAGAGUCUCUGUGGAAGCAAGUGACCUUUCCUGCUCAGGGCACAGAGAGGUGCUGUGAGUGACACAGAAGCCGAGGAAGGUUUAGGAAGGAGCAUUUAUUGAAGCUGCAAGGGGCAGCCUGAUACUGCAAAGGAUGUUUAUUUUCCCAGAUCAAGUUGAAAGCUCACAGCAACUUCCCGCAGUUUAUGGAAUUAAAUACUUGGACCGGGCUCAGAAACACCAGACUGAGAAGAAACAUUCAGCAGAGGUCAGCCCCAACUAUUUACAAGGGGCAUACACGUGACACAGUAAAACUUGCACUGAAAUAAACCCCCCAGCCCCUCUCCCACAAGGUCCCAUUUUGAUGCUGAACUGCUUUGAAAUUGUUCUGCCGAAAACUUUCUCGACACCAAUGUGCUCCAGCAAAAAGUUUCCAUCAGGCUGAAACUGCAUUUCCCUUUGGAAACCUCUUUGGUUCAAGUAUUUCCUCGUCUCUGCUGAUGCUUCCUGGGUUCGUGCCCUGCUCCAGGAUUGUUCUCUCUGUGACCAGCAUGUGACAAGGCUUAAAUAAGGAAUGAUUUGUGACGUGCCUUGAUACCCUCUGAUAAAAGAUGCCCAGAGCACUGAGCGUUACAGGACUGUGAUUUCUCUCCCCGUUUCUUCAGAAUGCAUUAAAUGUGUGGGUGCUCCAGUUAUUUCCUCUAACAGUUGAUAUUUUAACCUGCUGUAUUUUUAUCUUGGCUGCAUUAUAUAACAAGUUAUGCUGGUGUCAAUCUGGAAGCUCCAGCACCAUCAGUAAAGCUAAUCCAGUUUAACACAAGCCUUAGAGGAGGGUUGAAUUCCUCGUGAUAAAAAGCAGAAUUAACCCAAAUAAAUGACUA